RNAcentral lists this ribosomal RNA (115 nucleotides) under Burkholderiaceae bacterium. The record is from RNAcentral. Lineage: Bacteria; Pseudomonadati; Pseudomonadota; Betaproteobacteria; Burkholderiales; Burkholderiaceae.
CCUGAUGACCAUAGCGCGGUGGCCCCACCCCUUCCCAUCCCGAACAGGACCGUGAAACGCCGUAGCGCCGAUGAUAGUGAGCAUCCUCGCUCGUGAAAGUAGGACAUCGUCAGGC